UCUCUUGGUUUGUUUUCUCUGGAUUAUGAAGUCACGAUUUUUUGUUCUCACUCAGAUUAAUACUCAUGGUCUGUAGUAUCUUCAUCUCAACAACUUCAUAUUAUCAGCAACAAUGUGGAUACUCGAAGCUGUUUUCAAAAGGGAGAUUUUGAGGUUUUAAAUGAAUGACUUGCAAAUACUAAUCUUUGGUCCAUUUAAGGAACUGGAAGAAGUAGGGGUGAUGGAAGAGUUGGAAAAGGAAGUAAAAUCGAAGGACAACUUUCAAAAGGAUCAUGAAUGAUUGAUCACAUUGUUCAUAAGCAUACAAGUCAUUUCACAAUUCUUAUCGAUUGAGGAAGGGGAUUUGUGAUGUAUUUGACUGUAGAGAAAAUGUAACUCUAUUGAUGAAAUGAAUUUGUAUUUAUUUAGGAUCU
Long non-coding RNA from Solanum tuberosum (potato), 413 nucleotides. RefSeq lists it as uncharacterized. The transcript has 2 exons. NCBI's taxonomy places the organism in Eukaryota, Viridiplantae, Streptophyta, Magnoliopsida, Solanales, Solanaceae. The record is from RefSeq and is a predicted model, not a curated record.